Molecule: ribosomal RNA, 465 nt
Filed under: uncultured Klebsiella sp.
Lineage: Bacteria; Pseudomonadati; Pseudomonadota; Gammaproteobacteria; Enterobacterales; Enterobacteriaceae
Description: bacterial SSU rRNA
Rfam family: Bacterial small subunit ribosomal RNA
Source: RNAcentral
CCUACGGGAGGCUGCAGUGGGGAAUAUUGCACAAUGGGCGCAAGCCUGAUGCAGCCAUGCCGCGUGUGUGAAGAAGGCCUUCGGGUUGUAAAGCACUUUCAGCGGGGAGGAAGGCGUUAAGGUUAAUAACCUUGGCGAUUGACGUUACCCGCAGAAGAAGCACCGGCUAACUCCGUGCCAGCAGCCGCGGUAAUACGGAGGGUGCAAGCGUUAAUCGGAAUUACUGGGGGUAAAGCGCACGCAGGCGGUCUGUCAAGUCGGAUGUGAAAUCCCCGGGCUCAACCUGGGAACUGCAUUCGAAACUGGCAGGCUAGAGUCUUGUAGAGGGGGGUAGAAUUCCAGGUGUAGCGGUGAAAUGCGUAGAGAUCUGGAGGAAUACCGGUGGCGAAGGCGGCCCCCUGGACAAAGACUGACGCUCAGGUGCGAAAGCGUGGGGAGCAAACAGGAUUAGAUACCCGGGUAGUC